Molecule: microRNA precursor, 102 nt
Filed under: Marmota monax (woodchuck)
Lineage: Eukaryota; Metazoa; Chordata; Mammalia; Rodentia; Sciuridae
Source: RNAcentral
AGCACAGUUGCUGGAUCAUAUGGUGAGAGUAUAUUUAAUUUUGUAAAAAACUACCAAAUCUCUUCCACAAUGGCUGUACCAUUUUGUAUUCCCAUCAGUGGU